Aedes albopictus (Asian tiger mosquito) is the source of this 74-nucleotide non-coding RNA. The record is from Rfam. Lineage: Eukaryota; Metazoa; Arthropoda; Insecta; Diptera; Culicidae.
UGUUCUGUAGCUUAGUUGGUUAAAGCGCCGGACUAGCGAUAACGGAGUCGUGGGUUCGAAUCCCACCAAAAAAA